Brachypodium distachyon (stiff brome) is the source of this 2741-nucleotide long non-coding RNA. RefSeq lists it as uncharacterized. The transcript is spliced from 4 exons. NCBI's taxonomy places the organism in Eukaryota, Viridiplantae, Streptophyta, Magnoliopsida, Poales, Poaceae. The record is from RefSeq and is a predicted model, not a curated record.
UUUUCUCUAUCCUAGUUCCCUUCCCUCUCCCUCACAUCUGAAGCCAACUCCUUCUCCAGAUCUCGCAUCCAUGGUUGACCAUGGAGCUCGGCAAAGGCAAAAUUGGAUUCGCGUCGAUGCUGGGAGUACAGGGAAGGCAGUAAUUUGAAGAUGAUAUCCUGUGGAGCACGAAUUCUGUAAGAGAAAGAACUCAGGUAUCCUGUGGAGCCCGAAAUUUUUAGCUGCUAAUUGGGCAGAGGAUGGUCGGGAUGGGUGCAGCAUGGAGAGGGGACGCGGAGGAGGUCGGCGGCAAACUGUGGUUGGGUAGGCCGUGACGAGUGGUGGGAGGUCGGCGGAGACAGAUCGGAGAAGGAGCUGCGAGAAGGGCAGCGAAGACAGAUCGAGGAAGGAGCUACGAGAAGGGCAGUGGAGACAGAUCGGGGAAGGAGCUGCGAGCUCUGGCGAGAAGGGUGGCGGUGAUCUGUGUCCGGAGGCAGUGGAGGACAGAGAGAGGCGGCCAGCUCCGGCGAGAAGGGCGGUGAGGCACGAGCUCUGCCGUUUUGCAUCGGGUAAGAAAUAGGGAGAGAAAAAUCGCUCUGGUCUUGGCCACAUGGGAUCGAUUACAAUUAAUAGGCGUGUGGGGGUACGAGCCAUGGGUCGUCGUUUACAGAAGAACCGAUUCGUUCGUUUUUGCAAUAAUUAGAAUGGCACGUCAGUUAUAUUUUUAUGUUCCCGAGCCAUGGGACGGGCGCUGGGAGUGCUCUUAGGGAACCAUAGCUGAAAAUAGGAUCCGGAUCCCAUCCGUUGCCCAGUCUCCCUAAAAAAAAGAAAUCGAUCUCCAGUCUUCAUCGGGGCAGGUUCAGCUGCAGGAACCCCACCAUGCACGUCGGGGUUCUUGGAAGCGCCGGUCGCCCGUACCUGGCGAUCUCCACCCUAGCGCCGCUGACCAUCCGCUACUGCCUGACAUGCAUUGUCGGUGGAGCGCUUCAUCGGCAACGCACACGAUCCCCUUGAUGAUGCUCUGUUCGAUCUAGAAUCUUGCCGUCAUUGGAUCUGAAACACUAUUGGAUUUUAUUAAUCCGUCCAAUCUUGCGAGAGCAGCUGUGUUUCAUACCCAGGCAAACGAACAAGAAUUCUAGCAGUCUCGCAUCACCGUGCAAAGCAAUCGCUGCCGGAUUUUUCUAGCCUCUGUUACAGCAUUGGUGCAGUUGCAGCGAAUCUUUGUCAUCUUCCUCAAAAUUGGGAAAUUUUUCUGAUGCAGCAAUUGUCUACAAAGGAGUCCUUCAAAUUCCUACAAAAGGUCAGAUUUACUUAUUGUGUACAUAUUAAUCAGUUUAUUAAUCAUAAGAUAUUUUUCCAAUAUUCAUCAUUUGCAGUUCGCACCUACAUCAUCUGUCAUUCUACCGUACUAUAUAUAAUUUUUGUAACAGGUUCACACAUGUCUUUACCAUGUACAUGUUUAAUUGUCAUCUUUUCAAUGAGAAAGCAAGGUUAUUCAGUGCGUCUCUUCAUGCCCAUCUUGAAGAUCACGGUUUCUUCACUAUUUUGCUUUCUGCAGAUUUUUUGGGUCAAUUAUCAUUGAUUCUGUUUAUUAUCCUCUCACAUUAAUAUUCUCUUAAGAAAUUCAGUUUAUAUCUUGAUAGUAUGAUAUGAAAUUUAUAUUUUACUGGCUAUAUAUACUAGCUAAAUACCCAUGUGUUGCUAUGAUACUGACUAAAUUAGACUAAAAUCAUUAUAAUACAUUAGUUGCACUGUCUAUUUUAUUCUAACUUUGGCGAAAAACAUUAUCCACAUUUCAGUCUUUUGCAAUAGGUUAUUUUUUUUUCUUCCAUUCGACCAAAACAGGUCCGGGUUCAAAAUGAUAACGGACAAAUAUGUUUUAUUGUUUGCAUUAGAAAGAGAUAGGGAGUUUUUUUCUUUUUGACAAUAGAAGGUGGUGAGGAGGUGUUUUGUUUGCAGCAAAAGUAGGUGACGGACCGCCGUCACCAAUUGACUAUUUUAUAAGAGUAAAGAUAACAUAUUUUUCCUAUGGAACAUAUUUUCCCCAUGGAACCAUUGAAAUUUGUCUAUAUUGUUUCAUAUCAAAUUUUAAUAGAAUUAUAUUUUACCAUGAAAUUGUUCACUCACUGGAUUUACUAAAGUUUUCCCUGUUCCUUGAAUCUUUGAUAGCUUCUGAUGUGUUGUUUUCUGAAUUAGUCCAUGGCAGUAUAUUGUGCGAUGACCGUCCAAAAGCAUGUAUCCAACCAAAUAAAUAUUGAAGGGUACUCUAGGUUGCCUUAUAAGAGUACUAUUGCCUAGAACAAUUUUAAUAUAGUAAUAGCUCACACAGCUCCUCGAUGAAAAUCAGUGUUUUUAAUGGUAUUUUGUAGAAACACACCCACAGUUCGACACACAUGUACACUACGACACCACACUUAUCGCCUACAGAAGACCAGGGUCGCGAAGCCUUAGGAUUGAUGAACUCAUCACCUCAUGCCUUUCUAGCAACAGAAACUACAAUCUGUGGCACUAUCAACCCUCCACGACAAACAUCAAAAUGUGCGAGAGUUAUUGUUGUUGACCCAUAUGAUUGGCGAGAAGGAACUAAAGUGAGCUCGGUGCUGCACACCUUACAUAUCUACAACUCAAUUUCUCUCCACCUCUUACGCACUUGACCUCUCGUUUGCUGGGAGAGUUGCUGGCUUUACGGCUGGCUUGCACUUCUAAAGCCUUUGAAGAUUUUAGUCAUGGGUGUGCGCAUGAUUUCUCAGCUGUACUCUAGC